AAAAACAUGGUUUUUUGUUUUAUAUAAAAAAUCUGGCCUGCUCAGUGAAUUUUAAAUAGCUGCAGUAUUUUGACUGUACAAAGGUAGCAUAAUCAUUUGUCUUUUAAUUGAGGUCUGGAAUGAAUGGUUUGAUGAAAAAAAUACUUUAUUUGUUUUUUAAAAAAAAAUUAAUUUUUAAGUAAAAAAGCUUGAAAAUUUUCUUAUAGGACGAGAAGACCCUAUAGAGCUUUAUUUUAAUAUCUUUAUAUUAUGUUGGGUUAUAUAUUUUUAAUAAAAAUAUUAUAAAUUUUGUUGGGGUGACAAAAAAAAUAUCAUAACUUUUUUUAAUUAUUACAUUAGUUAAUGUAUUUUUGAUCCUUUUUUUGGAAAAAAGAAUAAGCUACCUUAGGGAUAACAGCGUUAUUAUUUCGAAGAGUUCAUAUCGAUGAAAUAGUUUGCGACCUCGAUGUUGGAUUAAAAUAAGAUAUAGAAGUAGAAUGUUAUAUUCUUGGUCUGUUCGACCUUUAAAUUUUUACAUGAUCU
RNAcentral lists this ribosomal RNA (522 nucleotides) under Orthotylinae gen. ZANCGEN2 sp. Msp009. Its description in RNAcentral is "partial large subunit ribosomal RNA". It matches the Rfam family "Bacterial large subunit ribosomal RNA", at positions 1809 to 2606 of the family's 2925-position model. Lineage: Eukaryota; Metazoa; Arthropoda; Insecta; Hemiptera; Miridae. The record is from RNAcentral.